Molecule: ribosomal RNA, 552 nt
Filed under: uncultured Acidobacteriota bacterium
Lineage: Bacteria; Pseudomonadati; Acidobacteriota
Description: bacterial SSU rRNA
Rfam family: Bacterial small subunit ribosomal RNA
Source: RNAcentral
UGGGGAAUUGUUCGCAAUGGGCGCAAGCCUGACGACGCAACGCCGCGUGGAGGAUGAAGACCUUCGGGUCGUAAACUCCUUUCGAUCGAGACGAACGGCCUCCGGGUGAACAAUCCGGAGGAGUGACGGUACCGAGAGAAGAAGCCCCGGCUAACUCCGUGCCAGCAGCCGCGGUAAUACGGGGGGGGCAAGCGUUGUUCGGAAUUACUGGGCGCAAAGGGCUCGUAGGCGGCCAACUAAGUCGGACGUGAAAUCCCUCGGCUUAACCGGGGAACGGCGUCCGAUACUGGAUGGCUCGAGUGUGGGAGAGGGAUGCGGAAUUCCAGGUGUAGCGGUGAAAUGCGUAGAUAUCUGGAGGAACACCGGUGGCGAAGGCGGCAUCCUGGACCACGACUGACGCUGAAUAGCGAAAGCCAGGGGAGCAAACGGGAUUAGAUACCCCGGUAGUCCUGGCCCUAAACGAUGAAUGCUUGGUGUGGCGGGUAUCGAUCCCUGCCGUGCCGAAGCUAACGCAUUAAGCAUUCCGCCUGGGGAGUACGGUCGCAAGGCUGA